Molecule: unclassified non-coding RNA, 217 nt
Filed under: plant metagenome
Description: partial contains small subunit ribosomal RNA, internal transcribed spacer 1, and 5.8S ribosomal RNA
Source: RNAcentral
UCUCCGUAGGUGAACCUGCGGAGGGAUCAUUACAAGUGACCCCGGUCUUACCACCGGGAUGUUCAUAACCCUUUGUUGUCCGACUCUGUUGCCUCCGGGGCGACCCUGCCUUCGGGCGGGGGCUCCGGGUGGACACUUCAAACUCUUGUGUAACUUUGCAGUCUGAGUAAACUUAAUUAAUAAAUUAAAACUUUUAACAACGGAUCUCUUGGUUCUG